UACGGAGGGAGCUAGCGUUGUUCGGAAUUACUGGGCGUAAAGCGCACGUAGGCGGCUUUGCAAGUUAGAGGUGAAAGCCCGGGGCUCAACCCCGGAAUUGCCUUUAAAACUGUGGGGCUUGAACACGGGAGAGGUGAGUGGAAUUCCGAGUGUAGAGGUGAAAUUCGUAGAUAUUCGGAAGAACACCAGUGGCGAAGGCGGCUCACUGGACCGUUGUUGACGCUGAGGUGCGAAAGCGUGGGGAGCAAACAGG
This 253-nucleotide ribosomal RNA is filed under the name uncultured bacterium. RNAcentral's name for it is "partial 16S ribosomal RNA". It matches the Rfam family "Bacterial small subunit ribosomal RNA", at positions 524 to 776 of the family's 1533-position model. The record is from RNAcentral.